ACGGAAGGCAGCAGUAGGGAAUCUUCGGCAAUGGGGGCAACCCUGACCUAGCAACGCCGCGUGAGUGAAGAAGGUUUUCGGAUCGUAAAGCUCUGUUGUAAGAGAAGAACGUGUGUGAGAGUGGAAAGUUCACACAGUGACGGUAACUUACCAGAAAGGGACGGCUAACUACGUGCUAGCGGCCGCGGUAAUACGUAGGUCCCGAGCGUUGUCCGGAUUUAUUGGGCGUAAAGCGAGCGCAGGCGGUUUAAUAAGUCUGAAGUUAAAGGCAGUGGCUUAACCAUUGUUCGCUUUGGAAACUGUUAGACUUGAGUGCAGAAGGGGAGAGUGGAAUUCCAUGUGUAGCGGUGAAAUGCGUAGAUAUAUGGAGGAACACCGGUGGCGAAAGCGGCUCUCUGGUCUGUAACUGACGCUGAGGCUCGAAAGCGUGGGGAGCAAACAGGAUUAGAUACCCUGGUA
Molecule: ribosomal RNA, 459 nt
Filed under: uncultured Streptococcus sp.
Lineage: Bacteria; Bacillati; Bacillota; Bacilli; Lactobacillales; Streptococcaceae
Description: partial 16S ribosomal RNA
Rfam family: Bacterial small subunit ribosomal RNA
Source: RNAcentral